Molecule: long non-coding RNA, 1769 nt
Organism: Neodiprion virginianus
Lineage: Eukaryota; Metazoa; Arthropoda; Insecta; Hymenoptera; Diprionidae
Exons: 2
Source: RefSeq, a predicted model, not a curated record
ACGGUCGGACGCAUUGCUGUCUGCCUGCCUGCCUGCCUGCCUCAGUCUUCGAACCUUCCCAAGCCUUCUAGUCAGAGACGGAGACGUACAAGUACUUCACGGAUUCGAUGAAACGAGCUCACACUCGUGAUAGGGGCCAUUUGUCAACCAACGGUUUACACGAGUUGCCGAGUCAUUUCGACUAACAGCCCGAGGUGGCCUGCCAUACUGUAACGUCAUCGCGUCACCACGCAAAUUCGCUAACUAUUGUUUCAAUCAAACAGGAUGGAUAAAUGAGAAGUGCGAAAUCGUGAUUGCAACGAAAUGAUCUCAGAACCGUUUAUCAGGUUGAGUUUUUGUCGCCGCUGCACGACGGUUACUCGCAGAAGCGGUUGAAGAAAAGAAGUUUAGAUGGAAGUAAAUACAGAUGGAUGGAUUGAUAGAUACAUAAAUAUCGAUUCAUUCGACGCUAGAAUUCCUGCUACAUCAGAGCCGCAAAGUAUUAUAGAAAAAAAAAAAUGCGCAUGAUUAUAAUACAAGAGUAUUCAUGUACAAGAUAUGAAUAAUGGAAAAGUAAAAAAAAGGUACAUAGUGAGACUCAUCAAUCGAUAAAUACAAUUCUGCAAUAUCGCGGCGACUAGAAAUGAGUGACAGAAAUGGGGAAAUUCCUCAAAUACAGGGAGAACGAGCGAGACGGGAGACACCGCGAGAGAGAGAGAGAGAGUGAUGGAUAUUUUAUUGGUGCCCAUAACAAUAUCGGACAAUAUCACUAUAUUACAUAUAAGUUUAUAUGCAUUACGUCGUCGUCAAGAGAAAAGAAAGCAAUAACUAAAAAUAAUAUAAAGCAAGACGAAAUCAUAAAACUAACGAUAAGACUAGCCUAACGAGAGGGUGGUAGAGAAAAGUCCGUAUUUUAUUUAUUUUUAUUUUCAUUUUCUUUAUUAAAACCCAACAGCCCAAAGGGCCAAUAAGAGGGUUACUCAAUUUACAUAGUUAUCGACAGAGACAGAGUUAACAUGUAUUGUUGUUGUAUGUGGAUUCUAUAUAAACUAAAAUUUCUAAUUUAAAUAUUUGAUAUAACAUAUCGAUCACAUUAGAUUUGGAUAUUGGUUCAAACAGCUUAAUUUGCGUUUAUUAGUGUAUUAAGUUAUUUAUUUAUUUAACUGUUUUCGCGUAGUGAAAUGAGAGUUGACGCAAUAGAGUUGGCCGUGAGGGGCUGAUUAAAACCAAAAAGAUCUAUGUUAUCAUUAUUGACAGUGAUAGCCGGGUGAUAAGGAUCUAGUCUGAGCAGAGGUUCAUUUACAUUCUCAACUGCACAUUCCAACAACCCGAAGAUUAAAUCAAGCAAUCUGUUUAAUGAAUUCAAAAUGUUAUUGUAUUGUGUUACGUUAAGAAAAGACGAGAAAGAGUGUAUAAACUCAGCCUUAGCGCAUACAUACCCAUUAUUAAUGUAUGAGUGAUAGUAGGGUGAGUUAAAAUCGUCUAUAAUUAAAAACUCUGCUGCGUCAAUAGUGCGGUGAGUUGAUAAGGUAUUGAACAGUUACUGUCGAAGGGAGUAUUUAAAGCUCGAACACAAACGGAUUUUACAAACGGAUGGGGGGAAGGUGGGAGACGCUUGAAUUAUAGGUAUACAAGUCGUGUAUGGGAUAAUGCAAUUCCAACAAUUGUUUACACGGAGCUCUUUUAUAUCCUAUAGAUGAUCAUGAUAUGGAAAUCAAAAAAAAAAAAAAAAAAUUAAUCUUCCAGAAAGACUCUGCAAUUAUACCACGACUUAUGCGUUACGCAAUUCA